UGUGGGUCGGUAUCUACGUCUGAGGCCCGGGCAGAGGAGCACCGGUACCGCCUUGUGAAUCCCCCUGUGGCCGUAAGCUCCCCGAGGUGGGAAGCCCGGCAGAAGCUCUUUUUGUAUUUCUUUUGUAUUUCAACAACAAAGCCCGUGUCAGGCAUGGACUGCGCUCCUGUCGAGCGACUUCUGCCAGCCCAACAAACCAAACCUGAAUAAAACUGGCUCUGGGAUGCUCCUGCC
This is a long non-coding RNA of Aptenodytes forsteri (emperor penguin), 234 nucleotides long. RefSeq lists it as uncharacterized. The record is from RefSeq and is a predicted model, not a curated record. The transcript is spliced from 2 exons. NCBI's taxonomy places the organism in Eukaryota, Metazoa, Chordata, Aves, Sphenisciformes, Spheniscidae.